Molecule: long non-coding RNA, 1011 nt
Filed under: Sinocyclocheilus grahami
Lineage: Eukaryota; Metazoa; Chordata; Actinopteri; Cypriniformes; Cyprinidae
Description: lncRNA (ENSSGRG00000052990.1)
Source: RNAcentral
AAACCGAAUCUCUUGAAAGGAACCGAUUCGCAGAACUUGCCCACUACCAGAGCCGUUGGGAAACAUGAAUGUGGCGUCGCCGCAGUGCUCGUCUCCUAUUGGCCAGCUGAACUGUCAGUCAAGGAGCGUCGGCUGGCGAGCUGAGGUGAAUGACAGCGCCGUGCCUCAGCAGUGUACAUACAAGACAAAAUGGGAAAUAAUAUAUCCAGUUGACGCACUGUAGCUACAGCAUUUAGUGAAACGUGGCGGCAGACCAUUAGAGACCGGUUUAGAGAAGACCUCUUCCAUUCUAAACCAAGCUGUGACUGACGGAAGUGAACUUAGGACGGAAGGAGUUAGUGGUUUAGUCACGAAUGGCUUUCGACUCGGUUGGCGGCGACCGCGGCGGCGGUGAGGCUGCGUGGAUCAUGCAUCAGCAGAUGCAGUCUGAUCCCAAGUCUUCCUGGCCUUCCAGCUACAACUCGGACAACAGUCACUGGAACAACGGCAUGGAUUCUCAGUAUCCCGGCUACUCUAAUUAUUGGUAUCCCCAAUCGCACACGGCGGGACCUUAUGGAAGCACAUACCCCCCUGGAACAGAGGUCAACGGACAGGCCUCAUACAAUCCCCAGGCAAUGUCAGGCUAUUCCAAUGGGGUGUACAAUCCAGGACAGUACUCCUCGAGUAUGCUACAUCCCUCCAACCCCUUCUACUGCAGUAACCAGGUUCCUUCAAGACAGCCUCAGUAUCACAGCCAGCCCUGCCCUGAACAAAAUGCGGGGGGUUCAGCUCCUCCCCCCUACCCCGUUCCUCACUGCCAAGGGGUAAAUUCAGUUACAUGUAAACAUAAUAAAAGAUUGUUUAUUUAGUUUUGUACAAAUUUUUGGGUCAAUUGUAAGUAGUGUCCAUAAUAAAGAAAAUUAAUAAUCAUUUAAAAAUCUACUUUAAAACAUGUGCCAAGUUCUUAGUAAUGUAUUCUUUGUAUUCAAAUAAAAAAAAAACAUUUAAAUUUAAUGAUAAACUGUCAUGUGG